GACGAACGCUGGCGGCGUGCUUAACACAUGCAAGUCGAACGGAAAGGCCAGUGCUUUCACUGGUACUCGAGUGGCUAACGGGUGAGUAACACGUGGGUGAUCUGCCUUCCACUCUGGGAUAAGCUUGGGAAACUGGGUCUAAUACCUGAUAUGAACUGCCUUUUGUGUGGUGGUUGGAUAGUUUUUUCGGUGCAGGAUGAUCUCGCGGCUCAUCAGCUUGUUGGUGGGGUAAUGGCCUACUAAGGGGUCGACUGGUAGCCGGCCUGAGAGGGUGUAAGGCCACAUUGGGACUGAGAAGCGGCCAAGACUCAUACGGGAGGAAGGAGUGGGGAAUAGUGCAAGAUGGGCGGAAGCAGGAUGCAGCGACGCCGCGUGGGGGAUGACGGCCUUCGGGGUGUAAACGCCUUUCGACAGGGACGAAGAGUAAGUGACGGUACCUGUAUAAGAAGCACCGGCUAACUACGUG
Molecule: ribosomal RNA, 466 nt
Filed under: uncultured bacterium
Lineage: Bacteria
Description: partial 16S ribosomal RNA
Rfam family: Bacterial small subunit ribosomal RNA
Source: RNAcentral